This is a long non-coding RNA of Gadus chalcogrammus (walleye pollock), 536 nucleotides long. RefSeq lists it as uncharacterized. The transcript has 5 exons. NCBI's taxonomy places the organism in Eukaryota, Metazoa, Chordata, Actinopteri, Gadiformes, Gadidae. The record is from RefSeq and is a predicted model, not a curated record.
GCCGUGGGCUCUACCGGAAAGGGGCGGGACUUCGCCCAAGUUUUCCCGCUUCUUCUCAGUUUGGGGCCGAAUCAACUGAACAAUAGAAUCUCGGAUCUCCAUUUUAGUGCCAUUCAAGUGAAUGUGACGAUUGAUCUGGACUCAAGCUGUAGGCCUACCAGUCAGAUGAGUAACUCAGUGGAGGAGGAGGACUUUGCGGAUAUCAGGGCCUACUUUUCCACAACAAAAUGGAACCGCCUCUGUAUGGCGGAGAAAAAAAGAUUCCUGCAGAUCAAGGAAAACCAUUUGGUUAUGUCGUCUCUUGGCCUGUCCUCUGUGGCUCCAGCCUUCAUGAGGAGAGAGAAGCCCGGCCAGGUGAGAGUCUGCUCACCUGAAGAGACGGACUCUGAGGAGGAGCAGCUCUGGACCUCUGGAUUGACCGAGUCUCUCAGGGCGGGGCUGGAGUGACCAGGAGGUCUCUGGAGGGCCCACUCCUUCUCAUCCAGAGAUCGACCCCCCCGGAGGAGGAGUAGAGAGGGGCUCUGCAGUCCAGGAGG